Molecule: long non-coding RNA, 708 nt
Filed under: Homo sapiens (human)
Lineage: Eukaryota; Metazoa; Chordata; Mammalia; Primates; Hominidae
Description: HSALNT0261484
Source: RNAcentral
GUUGCCGGAAGAAGUGGCGAAGUUACUUUUGAGGGUAUUUGAGUAGCGGCGGUGUGUCAGGGGCUAAAGAGGAGGACGAAGAAAAGCAGAGCAAGGGAACCCAGGGCAACAGGAGUAGUUCACUCCGCGAGAGGCCGUCCACGAGACCCCCGCGCGCAGCCAUGAGCCCCGCCCCCCGCUGUUGCUUGGAGAGGGGCGGGACCUGGAGAGAGGCUGCUCCGUGACCCCACCAUGUCCUCUCCUACCACGAGUUCCCUGGAUACCCCCCUGCCUGGUGAGUGACUCUCUUCCCCACCCAGCCCUUAUCACACACGAGCAGAAGCUCACUGUACCUCUCCCGGAUUCCACCCUCUUCCAGGAAAUGGCCCCCCUCAGCCUGGCGCCCCUUCUUCUUCACCCACUGUAAAGGAGGAGGGUCCGGAGCCGUGGCCCGGGGGUCCGGACCCUGAUGUCCCAGGCACUGAUGAGGCCAGCUCAGCCUGCAGCACAGACUGGGGCGUCCUUUCUGAAGAACAGAUCCGGAAGAAGAAGAUUCGGAAACAGCAGCAGGAGUCACAGUCACAGUCGCAGUCACCUGUGGGGCCGCAGGGCAGCAGCAGCUCAGCCUCUGGGCCUGGGGCUUCCCCUGGUGGAUCUGAGGCAGGCAGCCAGGGCUCCGGGGAAGGCGAGGGUGUCCAGCUAACAGCGGCUCAAGAACUAAUGAUCCAG